UCUACACAGUUUUUAAAGACGUGUUUGAUAGAAUCUAAUUCAUUUAGAAAUUUUCUUUUGGCAGUGGCAGUUGUACAAGGAAGGACACACACUCUGGUUGAGAGGUUUGAAAGGAAAGAGAGGGAGAUUAAAUAGUGAUGAAGUUCAGGCACCUGAUACAACCCCUCAAAUAAUACCUGAGAUGGCUAAAAUAUCCCCCAUGUUGGGAGUUGACAUCUGCAAAUGAUGGCAAUGUUGCUGAAGAUCUGAUGCAGAAUCAUGAUGUAUUCUUAAGUACCCUUCGGUCUCACUUGACAAAAUUACAGGUGGUGCGCCAUUUUUGGGAACGAAAUAAUAUCAAGGGUGCUAUAGAUGCUACGAGGAAGUUGCCUGAUCAUUCUGUGGGUAUUUUUUGGAGGAUUUCAAGCGUGUUGCUUGUUCGUUUCAGAUGGUUCCUAUUGGUAACCAAUUUCUUCCUUGUUUAAUUUUAUGAAGAUUGUAUAUGGUGUAGGUACAAGCAGACCUGAUCAGUAUUCUCGUGGAGAAAAUGGAGA
Molecule: non-coding RNA, 533 nt
Organism: Camellia sinensis
Lineage: Eukaryota; Viridiplantae; Streptophyta; Magnoliopsida; Ericales; Theaceae
Source: RefSeq, a predicted model, not a curated record